GACGAACGCUGGCGGCACGCCUAACACAUGCAAGUCGAGCGGAGUUUUACAGCUUGCUGUAAAACUUAGCGGCGGACGGGUGAGUAACACGUGAGCAACCUGCCUCUAAGCGGGGGAUAGCUUCUGGAAACGGAUGGUAAUACCCUAUAAAACUGUUUUGCGGCAUCGUAGAACAGUCAAAGAUUUAUCACUUAGAGAUGGGCUCGCGUCUGAUUAGCUAGUUGGAGAGGUAAUGGCUCACCAAGGCGACGAUCAGUAGCCGGACUGAGAGGUUGAACGGCCACAUUGGGACUGAGACACGGCCCAGACUCCUACGGGUGGCUG
This 324-nucleotide ribosomal RNA is filed under the name uncultured Bacillota bacterium. RNAcentral describes it as "bacterial SSU rRNA". It matches the Rfam family "Bacterial small subunit ribosomal RNA", at positions 28 to 351 of the family's 1533-position model. The record is from RNAcentral. Lineage: Bacteria; Bacillati; Bacillota.